RNAcentral lists this non-coding RNA (21 nucleotides) under Caenorhabditis elegans. The record is from RNAcentral. Lineage: Eukaryota; Metazoa; Nematoda; Chromadorea; Rhabditida; Rhabditidae.
UACCAUUUCAUUCCGACAAAA